Molecule: transfer RNA, 72 nt
Filed under: Rhabdornis inornatus
Lineage: Eukaryota; Metazoa; Chordata; Aves; Passeriformes; Rhabdornithidae
Description: tRNA-Glu
Source: RNAcentral
GUUCUUGUAGUUAAAGUCCUAUAACGGCGGUUUUUCAGGCCGCAGGUCCUGGGGAAGGGCCAGGCGAGAAUU